RNAcentral lists this small RNA (106 nucleotides) under Epilithonimonas hominis. RNAcentral's name for it is "Chryseobacterium hominis Flavo-1 RNA". It matches the Rfam family "Flavo-1 RNA". Lineage: Bacteria; Pseudomonadati; Bacteroidota; Flavobacteriia; Flavobacteriales; Weeksellaceae. The record is from RNAcentral.
UCAUAGCCCUGAUGGUAACAGCAUCCUUUUUGCGAGGCUUCGAGAGCCUCAGCCUAACAAACCCAACGUCUUUCGCAAAAAGAUAUAGUCGAUAGCAGGUUCCCGG